RNAcentral lists this ribosomal RNA (253 nucleotides) under uncultured bacterium. RNAcentral describes it as "partial 16S ribosomal RNA". It matches the Rfam family "Bacterial small subunit ribosomal RNA", at positions 524 to 776 of the family's 1533-position model. The record is from RNAcentral.
UACGGAGGGGGCUAGCGUUUUUCGGAAUUACUGGGCGUAAAGCGCACGUAGGCGGGACGGUAAGUCAGGGGUGAAAGCCCGGGGCUCAACCCCGGAACUGCAUUUGAAACUUCCGUGCUUGAGGUCGGAAGAGGAUGGCGGAAUUCCGAGUGUAGAGGUGAAAUUCAUUGAUAUUGGGAGGAACACCGGUGGCGAAGGCGGCCAUCUGGUCCGGUAUUGACGCUGAGGCGCGAAAGCGUGGGGAGCAAACAGG